Molecule: ribosomal RNA, 604 nt
Filed under: uncultured archaeon
Lineage: Archaea
Description: bacterial SSU rRNA
Rfam family: Archaeal small subunit ribosomal RNA
Source: RNAcentral
UUCCGGUUGAUCCUGCCGGAGGUCACUGCUAUUGGGGUCCGACUAAGCCAUGCGAGUCAAUAGUUCUUCGUGAACUAGGCGGACGGCUCAGUAACACGUGGGUAAUCUACCCUCAGGACAGGGAUAACCCCGGGAAACUGGGGAUAAUACCUGAUAGGUGGAGAGGUCUGGAAUGAUCCUCCGCCCAAAGCUCCGGCGCCUGAGGAUGAGCCUGCGGCCGAUUAGGUUGUUGGCGGUGUAACGGACCACCAAGCCUGAGAUCGGUACGGGCACUGAGAGGUGGAGCCCGGAGAUGGGGGCUGAGAAACGGCCCCAGGCCCUACGGGGCGCAGCAGGCGCGAAAACUCCGCAAUACGCGAAAGCGUGACGGGGGGACCCCAAGUGUCAUGCCUUCGGGUAUGACUUUUGCAGAGUGUAAACAGCUCUGCGAAUAAGAGCUGGGUAAGACCGGUGCCAGCCGCCGCGGUAACACCGGCAGCUCAAGUGGUGGCCACUAUUAUUGGGCCUAAAGCGUCCGUAGCCUGCUCGGUAAGUCCUUGGGAAAAUCCGCUCGUUCCACGAACGGGACCCUGAGGAUACUGCCGAACUUGGGAACGAGAGAAGU